GUGGUGUUAGCAUGAUCUGAGGGUGGAGUUUUUAGCUUCUCAACUUCAAAAGGUCAACUAUCGGACAUCUCUCUGGGUCCAGUUGAUGAGUUGGUGGUCUCAACAGGCCUGAAGUGGACAAGGGGUUCUAAUUCCUGAAAAACAGCUCACACACCCAUUACCAUGGUGACCCAGGCUCCAGGGAAAUGUUACCUAUAGGAGCCUAGUGGGAGUCAGAUAGCAUAUUGCCUAAGCAGCACAGUUAACAAUGGGUGGGUUAAACAGCCAAAAGCUAUAAUCAGUAAUUGCAAAAAGGUAAAAAAACUUUAGUUCCCAGGUACUUAAUUAUUAAUGGCUAACUCUCUGCCAGUUUCAGAGCAAUGAAAAUUACCCAAAAAAGUGGAAUCAUUAUAUAACGAUAGAAUUGUCAAUCCACCAAGAAGACACAGCAAUCCUAAAUGUGUAUGCACCAAACAAUAUAGCCAUACAAUAUUUGAAUAAAAAACUGAUAGAACUGAAAAGAGAAUAGACAAACGAUAAUUAUAAUUGGAGACUUCAAUACCCAUCUCUCAGCAAUUGGUAGAACUAGACAGAAAAUCAGCAAAGAUAGAGAAGAACUCAAUACCUCCAUCAACUAGCAGGAUCUAACUGACAUUUACACAGCACUCCCCUCAACAACAGCAGAAAACACGUUUUUCCCAAGUGUCCAUGGAACAUGUAUCAAUAUAAGCCAUAUCGUGAGCAUGAAACAGACUUUAACAAAUUUAAAAGAAUUAAAAUUAUGCAGAGUGUGUUCUCCAAUUACAAUGGAAUCAAAGUAGAAAUCAAUAGUAGAGAAAUAACAGAAAAAUUUUCAAACAUUAGGAAACUAAGGCAUAAACUUCUAAACAAACCAUGAGUCAAAGAGGAAUUCUCAAGGGAAAUAAAAUAAUACAUUAAACUAAAUGACAUUGAAGAUAUGACAUAUCAAAAUCUAUGGGACUCUGCUAAACCAGUACUGAGAGGUAAAUUUAUAGAACUAAAUGCAUACAAUUAGGAAAGAAGAAAAGUCUCAAAUCAAUAAUCUAAUCUCCUACCUUCAGAAUCUAGAAAAAGAACUGCAAAAUAAACCCAAAGCAAACAGAAAAGGGAAAUAAUAAAGAUAAGAGAAAAAUCAAUCAAACUGUAAAGAAAAAAUAACAAAGAAAAAUCAAUGAAAAAAAGAGUGGGUUCUUCUUACCCCCACCCCCCUUUUUUUGGUGAGGAAGAUUAGCCCUAAGCUAAUGUCUGUUGGCAAUCUUCCUCUUUUUGCUCGAGGAAGAUUGUUACUGAGUUAACAUCUGUGCCAAUCUUCCUCUAUUU
This 1320-nucleotide long non-coding RNA is filed under the name Equus caballus (horse). RNAcentral's name for it is "lncRNA (ENSECAG00000046332.1)". The record is from RNAcentral. Lineage: Eukaryota; Metazoa; Chordata; Mammalia; Perissodactyla; Equidae.